Molecule: long non-coding RNA, 24816 nt
Filed under: Solanum tuberosum (potato)
Lineage: Eukaryota; Viridiplantae; Streptophyta; Magnoliopsida; Solanales; Solanaceae
Description: long non-coding RNA (STUB_LNC011745)
Source: RNAcentral
AUCCACGAAAAUAAUUAUCAGGUGACGUUGUUUCACCCUUAAUCAUCUCCAAUGCGGCUUUCAUUACAGCCGCAUUCAUCACAACAACAUCUUCUUCAUGACUAGUAGUGUGUUUUUUCAUGUCCAAAUUUGGGCUGCUAGUGCAGCUAAACUCAUAAUACUCAUCCUUAUGUUGAGGGCAAAAUGGUAAAUUACCACUCUCGACGUGAUCGGAGCGACGGUUUUGGUUUUGGUUGUGGUGGUGGAAGUGGAACAUGAGAUUUUGGAUCACGGCUUUGUAACUACUAACCUUGCUACGUGUCAUCAUUAAUUUGAUAUCGAGCAUAAUUUUCUGCUUUGAUAUACCUUUUCUUAACAUGCACAACGCUACUCGAACAAUUUUCCAAAACUUCUUUCCUAUCACUACCAAAUUUUGAUCCAUUUUAUUUUUUUGUGUGUGUGUUGUUGUUGCUAAUUGAUUUGGUAAGGCAAAAAGUAUAUGAAGGGGUAUAUAUAUAGUGGACCAUCUUAACGUUAAUAUGUUAAAGUGAGGAGUUAAGUAAAGGGUCCAUUUGAUAUUUUGGAACAAAAAUCGAAUAUUUUAUUGACUCAAUUAUUAAUGGUGUUGGUGAUUUUUACACUAUACAACUUUAGGUGAUCACUAUCACUCCCAAAUUAAUUGUGUGAUUAAUUAUUUUUCCUCAUGGAAAUCAAUUUUAAUUUGGUCACGUAUGUCCCAAUUAAACACCUCUUUUCUUUUUUUCUGCUCCCCAUUCAACAAUUUUCUUCUUUAAUUAAUACCUCAAACCAUAUGAGAUCUCUAAAAAGUCACUUCUAACUUAAUUUCAAAUUAUUGAUAGUUGAUACUUGAUACUACCAGAAUAUGUUUGAAAUUAAAUUAUUUAGGACAUGUCUUUUGCACUGAUGUUAUGGCUAGUCUAGUAAUGCGUGUUAAAUGCUUGUUCACUCUUAAUCAUAUAUUUCAAAUUUUGAUAGGAAAUGUUUUUUUUACACUUUUCAAUGUGAGUUCAGAUUAAUCAAGCAUCAUAGAUCAAGUAGUCUCAAACUUUCGGCUUCAUGAAAAGAUAAUUAUUCUUAAUUCAGCCACUUAGCUCAAUAAUAAUGCUAUUUAGGUUUGUCUACUUAGAGGGGAGGAUAUUAUCUAGAUUUGAUCUUAAGAUAUUAUAAUCAACAAAUAGGAAGCAAACAAACAAAUAAAUUUUAAAAAUAACAAAUUAAUAUUACUACGUUAUUGCAAUUUUUUUGUUUGGAUACAAUUGUCCAUUUUCAACUUCUAGAAUAUGCGUUGAAAGGAUACCUCCAAAACCCUAGCAGCUACUCCCUCCGUCCCUUUUUAGUUGUCCACUUUAGAAAUGGCACACAGAUUAAGGCAACAAUGAUUAACACAGUGAAGUUACAAUUUUACCCUUAUGACAACUUUUCACUUCAAAAUUACAACCACUUAUUUGAAUUCAAGUGAAAUAAAUUGGAGGGAAACAACAUACACUUUUACAAUUUUCAAGAAGUGUAAAUAAGGGUAUAAUAGGAAAAAAUUUGUUGUCCUUUCUUGAUUUGUCAAAAUGGACAACUAAAUAGGGACAACCAAAAAAGGAAAUAUGGACAAGUAAAUAGGGACGGAGGGAGUAUUUGUUUGUUUGAAAAGUUUACCUAACAAGGUAGGUUUUCCAGGGCAUGUAAUUCACUACAAAAAAACGCUUAAAUAGCGGGGGUUAAUUUUAAGGUUUGUAGGGGUUUAAAACCCCCGCAAUCUAGUAUUGCGGCAGUUAUCAAAACUCCCACAAUAAGAAUUGUCGCAAGCUUUUUGCGGCAGUUGUUUUUUUACCCCCACAAUCAAUUAGCGGGAGUUACUUUGCGGAGGUCGACCCACGCUAAUUUAUAAUUAAAUCUUUUAAUAUUAUAUUUUCAUAUUCAAAUAGUGGGGGUUUAAAACCUCCAAUUUUUUUGUAAAUUGCUUAUAUUGAAAGAUCUGGGCAAUCAUAAGCUUUACAAUUCAUUUAAUAUAUUGUUAUUCAUAUAUUAUUUACACACUAAUUAAGCUAUAAAUCAUAAUCAAAUCCAAGAAAUAUCUCAAGGUCAAGAAAUAUAUAUUCUUUAACGACAUAUCAUAAAGUCACAAAAAUAUUGCAUUAUCAUUAGUCGCUAAAAUUAUACUGUCAACAUCAAAUAUCUUCAUCAGAAGUAAACACUAAAUCUAAACACAAAAUAUCCAAUCCAACAUUUUAACAUCCCCUCCAAUCACACAAUCUUGUCAUCAAAUUAAUUAGCUAAGACAACUACAAUGUAAUCAACGGUUGUCAUGACAAGGAUUACUAUCACCGUUGCAUGAUCUUCUUGUGUUCAUAGGCAUAAUUGGUUCACUUGCAGUAAGAAAGGCAUCUACUUUUGCAGUAACAAUAGAUUCACACUUAUGAUAGAAAAAAACAUAAGAAGUUUUUCAUGCCAUCAUAAUACAAUUAAAUAGCAAAUAAUUGAAUCUGUAUAACCUCCAUCAAUUAAUCAACUAGUUCACAACUAUUGUCCUAUCUUUUUUUUUUCUUGUUGAAAUACAAUUAGAAUUCAUGAAGAAACUUACACAUAUUUCUUUUGUAACUUCAUUAACAUAUACUCCAUCUUUAUUUUAUGAGUAGCAAUAUAUAUUUGUGCUCGUCCAGGCCUUUGUCCAGUUUCAGCCAUCUACAAAUAAAAAAUCGAAAUCAGAAUAAUUUACUACUAAAAAAUGAAUACAUAAGUAAAUUUACUAAUCACCAUUUCAGCCCUUCUCGUAGCAUUCACUUUGGAGCUACCUGUGUGUGGAAUUGUCUAUUUUUUUCGAUUUUCAGUAUUUCUUCUAUGCAUUUCCUUAUAAAAAAUAUACGAAACUUGAUUAAAAAAUCAAAUAGUUACAUGAUAAUAAAAACUAGUAAAAUUAGUAACAUAAAUACCUUUGUUGAAUCUUUAUAUUGGUAAUCAACAAAAGAAAUUCAUUGAUCUCGUGGAAUUUCAUCUGGCACGUUAUCAAUUAUCUCAACUUUACUUUUAAGUGGGUCUUCGACUAACUUCCACAAGUUGUUCUUAUUUGCAGCCCACUUCUUUCCAAUAGAUUUAUAAAUGUGUUGCCACGCAUGUGACUCUGUUGUCUUAAAGGAGAACUUGGGCUUCAAGAAAGAAAAUAUUAGUUGGCUUAUCUAUUGCUUGUAAAUAAUAUUCAAAUUACCAAUUAUUUUUCUCACCAAAAAGUAAAAUAGAAUAAGAGUCUAGUUGUAAGCUCAUACCUUUAUAAUUUGAUCGAAAAUGCGAUUUAAGUAUAGUAUGACAUAGGCACACUCGACCAUUUCUCAAAGUUGAUUGGAAAUAUAGAGCAAUCACAUGCUAAAUUCCACAAAAUCCUGAAAGAAGGCUGCGAGCCUCUCCAAAUGGUUCAUUCAGGUAAUCAAAAUUAACCAAAAUAAGUUCAUCACCUGAUAAAUUAAGCACAUCUGUUUUUUUUUACUUUGAGCUUUUUGACAUUAUUUUCUGAAUCUGUAAUAAAAACAAAGAUAAAUUGAAGCUAUGAGAGAAACAAAUAAUAGUUAUUGAAUAUGUACUGAUACUCAAAAUUAUUUACCUAUUGCUUCUACAGUUCAAUAUGACUGUGAUUCACGCCCUAUACGCUUUUUGAAUGGUGCUUGAACUGUUGGAGGUUGUUGUGAUGAGUCUUGUUCAGUUGAAGACAAAUGUGAUGUCGAGUAAACUAAAUGAGAUGGUUGUGAUGUUGGAUAAGUUGUCGGAGCCAUCUGUGACACAACUUGAUCCAUCGUAGCUGAAUGUGAUGCCGAGUCAACUGAUUGAGAUGAUUGUGAUACAUGUUGAAAUAUUGAAAGCGCCUGCAAUGUCGACUGAAAUAGUGGGACUGAAUGUGUUGUGGCCGGAAAUGACGUGGGGGCAGGCGUGAUGUUGAAUGGAGAAAUGAAGGUGUUGAUUCCGCCCCUUGAGAAUCAGACACUAAUUGACCUGAGUUUUAUUUUUUCUGUAAACGCUUUAACUUUGGCAUGCUGGCAAUUCAAUAUUUCAAAUCUUGUAGUUCAUAGGUUAAAAAAAAAUUCAACCAAAAAACAGCAACUAAUAACCUGCAAAUACAAUAUCUAAACCAUAAAAAAUAAGCACCUGAAACUAAAAAAACAACCAAAAAUCUGCAGAAACAACAGCUUAAAACGCACAAAAUCAGCAACUAAAGAUUGAAAAAACAGUAGAUAAAACACUAUAUAAACAACAACCUAAAACACAAAAUUUCAGCACCUAAAAGCAACAAAAUAGUAGCCAAAAACUGCAAAAACAGCAGCUUGAAACACAAAAUAACAGCAGCUAAAAAUAGAAAAAAAAACAGCUACUAAAAAAUUGCAGAAAUUGCAGCGUCAAACACAGAAUACAAGAAACUAAAAAGAGAAGAGCCAACAACUAAACAUUUCUAAAACUGCAGCUUAAAAUGCAAAAUAUUGUCCAAAUCUUUGCUAUUUUAUUCAUUCAUAUUCUCCUCUAUUGCAAUUUGGAUAUUCUCAUAGUCAUCAUCAAAAAAUUGUCCAAAUUCUUGUUGUUGGCAUGGCUCAUUCUCAUACAGAUCCUCUUCAUCAAUCUCUCCCAUUUCGAACAAAUCUCUUGGCUUUAGAUGUACAACGAUACUCUAUUCUUUAUCAGUUUCAUCAUCAAUAUAGUAGACCAUAUUUGCUUGUGAUGCUUCAAUAUAUGGAUCAUGAUCCUCUCGAUCACCGGUGUGAAUCAAUUUAGAAAACUUGACACAGUUAAACUUUCAAGCAUCUGUUUUAUACCCUCUAUUUCGAGUAGUACCAGCCCAUAGACACUUGAAAAGAACAACUUUGAACCUGCCAUAAUAAUUAAGCUCGAUAAUAUCUUCUAACUUUUCAUAAUAUGGCAUGUCUGCUUGUCUUGCACAUCUAUCUACACUAGACGCAAUACAAGAAGUGUCAGAGAUGAGAAAAACUCCACUAUUUUGAGUUUUUGAUCCUUGUUCUCUAGAUAAAGUUCGAAAUUUGAAUCCAUUAAUGUUAUAAGCACUAAAUCUUCUUGCAUCUUGCGCAGGACCUUGUGCUAAAAACUUCAUAUCAUCAGAGAUAGUUUUUGCUAUAUUCAGAUUCAUAAUCUUAACAAACAUAAUAUAUCUGUCAGAGAUACUAAAUUGACAAAAAAAUAUGUUCAAAACAAAAUAUUCUAAAUUUAUUUACUCACUCUCUUAGGAAACCAAUCAGGAAACUCUUUACUAUAUAUAUAUAUAUAUAUAUAUAUAUUAAAUUCUUACGUGAUUAUUCUACACAUUUCUUACAAAUCAAAAUCAGUUUAAAUUUCAUACUCAAUGAAUGGCUUCACUACUGCGCAAUUAAGUAACACAUAUCGAUGAGCUUGAGUUUUCUCUAAAGUAGUCAAUGGUCCUGUUGUGGAGCCUCCAACAAGUUUACCUUGUUGAGGAAACAUAGAUGACUUUCCAGAAGCUUCAUUAUGAUUUGGUUCAUAGUUUACACGUUUAGGUCGAUUCAACCUUGACUCAAUUUCGUCAAAAUAAUGAGAGUAAAGAGUUAGAACUUCUUCAACCUUGUUCCCCUCAGCUAUUGAGCCUUCUGAUUGAGAUUUGUUCCUUACGAGAGACUUAAAAUGACCUAACAAUCUAUGGUCAAAAUAAUGAAGUGUUAGAAAAAUUAUUUAUGUUUAAAUUCUAAUACAAAAUCUAUUCAAUAAUUUUGAAUAAGAAUUUGUUUACCUUUCAAAGAAAUACAUCCAUCGAUAAUGUACAGGUCCACCUUGUUUUACUUCAUCCACUAGAUGUACAGUCAGAUGAAUCAUUAUAGUAAAAAAUGAAAGGGGAAACAAUAUAUCUAGAUGACUCGAGGUUUCUAAAAUUCGAUUUUGUAGCUUUUCUAGGUCAUACUUCAUACAAAGCUGCCUAAAAAAAGAAGAUAACUCUACUAGAGUUGCAACGACCUGAUUUGGAAGAACAUUGCGAAUUGUUAUCGGUAACAACUGUUCCAUGAAGAUAUGACAAUCAUGACUCAUUAAUCCAAAUAUUCUUUUUUUAUCCAAAUCAAUGCAACGAGAUAUAUUACUGGCACUGAGAUAUUCUUUAAAGUCUUGAGGAAGGCCACUUUCUUCUUCUUUGGAAUUGUAAAUGCACCAAGCCGACAUUCACCAUUCUCAUCCGGCCAUAGAUCGCGCCUUAUACCCAUGUCUUGUAGAUCUUUUCGAGCCUUAAUAUGAUCCUUCGAUUUUUCUUUAUCAUUUAGCAAGGAAUAUAUAAUGUUGUCAAACACAUUCUUUUCAAUAUGCAUAACAUUUAAAUUGUGGCGCAACAAAUUAGACUCCCAAUAUGAAAGAUCAAAGAAGAUGCUUUUUUUUCUCCAUUGUUGAGUUCCACGUUCACCAUCAUUUCUUUGCUUGUUUCGUUCUCUUUUACGAUUCAACUCUGUUGGUCUUCCAAAUGUGACAUGGAUAUCUUUCACUUGUUGAAAAAUAUCUGAUCCUGAUAACUUCUUUGGAGAGGUCCUUUCUUCCACAUUUCCAUCAAAACGACACCUCAUCAUUCUAAAUUUGUGAUUUCUAGCUAAAAAUCAACGAUGACCAAUAAAACACCACUUUCUACUAUGAGGAAGUCGAUAAGGUUCAGCGUCAAAAUUACAAGAGGGACAGGCAAAACCAGUAUGUGUAUCCUCUCUUCCACGGUUCCAUCAAAAUGAUGCCUCAUCAUUCUAAAUUUGUGAUUUCUAGAUAAAAAUCAACGAUGGCCAAUAAAACACCACUUUCUACUAUGAGGAAGUCGACAGGUUCUGCGUCAAAAUUACACGAGGGACAUGCAAAACCAGUAUGUGUGUUCCAACCAGAUAAGCUAUCAAGUCCAGGAAAGUCGCUAACUGUCCACAUAAGAGCCGCUCGCAUUCUAAACAUUUCAUUCUUUGAUGAGUCAAAAGUGUCCACACCCUCACUCCACAACUCAUUCAACUCCUUAAUAAAGGGUUAGAGGUAUACAUCUAUGUUAUUUCCUGGUGAACGUGGACCUGGAAUAAUCAUUGAGAGGAUGAAAUUUGGUUGUUUCGUACACAACCAUGGAGGAAGAUUGUAUGGAACCAAAAUCACAAGCCAAAUGCUAUAAAUAGUACUCAUUGUCCCAAAAGGUUUGAAACCAUCACUAGCUAGGCAUAAUCGCACAUAUCAAGGAUCAGAAGAAAAUUCAGGAUAAGGUGUAUCAAACUUCUUUCAUUCAUCACCAUCUCUAGGAUGUCGUAGGGUUCCAUCUUUGUUAUAUUCCUCUGCAUGCCAUCUUAAAUGCUCUACAAUCUUAGAACACAUGAACAAUCUUUGCAAUCUUGGUUUUAAGGGAAAGUAUCGCAAAUUUUUUGCAGGCUUCUUCUUUUUCUUCUUAGUUGUGGUAGAUGUAUGAUUUGUAUUGCUCUUUUUCUCGGGCUUCCAUCUAGAAGUGUGACAAUACUUACAUGUCUGGGUGUUAACAUCAUCUUCCCAAUACAACAUGCAAUCAUUUGGACAGGCAUCUAUUUUGAUAUAAUCAAGACUCAACUUAUUGAUGGUUUUCUUGGCCUCAUAAAAAGAAUUAGGGAUCUUUGCAAAUUUAAAUGCAUUCCUAAGUAGAUCUAGGAUCAUAGUCAUUCCCUUAUCACUUAAUCCAGACAAACAUUUAAUGUGAUAAAGCUUUAACAAAAUUUUUAACUUUGAGUACUUGGAGCCUUCAUACAAUUCUUGACUUCCAUUUUUAAACAACUCAAAUAAAUCUUUCUUAUUUAAAGCAGGCAUACCACGUAACAUUUCGUCUUCUUCCAUUACUAGUGAUGGACCUAUAUCAACAUCCUCAUGCAUUAAGCCCCCGAAUGCUUCAUUAACCAAUAAUUAUAUUGGAUUUUCAAUUGGUGGUGUAGCCUGAGUGGUCUCUAUGUCUCUCAAAUUAGAAAACACAUUCAUUUCUCUAUGCAUAACCCAAGUGACAUAAUUUUGUGGGAACGACUUGUUGAUCAAAUGGUCAAACACUAUAUUUCUAGUUUGCCACUUUCCAAAACCAUGGACAUUUAAUUUUAUCUCCUACAACUCCAUUGUUAAAUGCAAAAUCUAGAAAUUGAUUCAGACAAAACAAAUACUCCGAUGUGUUUCUUGGCAUUUCAAUUAGAGCUGUCAAAAAGGGCGGGCCCAGCCCCACUCGGCCCAAGCCUCGCGGGUUAAUGAAUUUGAAGGGCUGGGGAGGGCCGGCCCUUCAUUUGGUAGGGCCUGAAAAUGCUCAACCCAACCCGACCCUAGAAGGGCCGAGGGCUGGGGCGGGCUAGCCCUUCUUUUUUUUUUAUUUUUUUUUAUUUUCAAAAAUAUAAUUCUAUAACAUCAAGAAAAUAAGAAGAUUUUCAAAUCAAAUAUGCAAAUAAUGGUGUAGUUUCAAUAACAUUAGCAAAAAUCUAGUGCAAUUAGCAUGUAUUUCGCAUACCAGAUACACGAGUGAGAUAAGAGAGUGACAAGCAAGAUGAGAGAGAGGCGAGGGCGCGAGAUUUGUAUAUGUAUCUUAGAUACAUGCGAAUCUACUUGAAUAAAUUGUAUCUAGAACAAAUUAACCUAAUUUUGAGUCCAUAUAUUCUGAGAUACAUGUAUCUGGUACGAAGAUUCAUAAUAUUACAACAUAGCGUGUAUUCAAAUAAUUAGAUUAUAUACUAGUGAGAUUAUUAUAAAUUACUCUUAAAUGAAAAGUUUUGACCCAUGGGCCGACCUCGGCCCAGCCCCGAUCAAGCCUCAAGGGCCAAGGGAUUAUAAGCCCUAGUUUUAAAUGGGCUUAAAAAUCUUACCCAACCUUACCCCAAUAACGGGUAGGGUUGGAUCGGCCCCAUGAGGUAAGCCCAUUUUGAUGGCUCUAAUUCCAAUCCAAGAUUUAUCCAUUGAAAAAUUAGAUUAACGUGCAAGAAUAUCACCUAUAAGAUUUCAUGAGUAAGAAAAUGAGUGUGCAUUAGUAGGGGUGUACAAAAUCGAAUUGAAAACCGAACCAAACCACAAACCGAGUCAAACCGAAAAAAAUACCCGACUAGUGCUUUGGUUUGACUUGGUUUGGUAUUGGAAAAAAAACCCGACUAUAUUUGGGUUGGUUUGGUUUCAACUAAAAAAAACCAAUCUGAGACCAAACCAACCCGAUAUUAUAUAUAUAAUUUUAAAAAUUUUAUUUUAUACGUAAAUAUUUACUUUGAUAUAAUUUUUAAAAUAUUUCUUAUACUUUUUCAUAGUUUUUAUCUUUUAAUAUAUUAUUUCAUGUUUGAAAGUUAGAAUUCUUAAUGGUCCAAUAAAUAUUAUAGUCCAUAGAUGUUAGUAAUUAUAAUAAAGCUUAAAUCAAAAUCAAAUUAAUACUACUAAUGCAAAAAGGAAAUCAAUUCAACACUAAGAAUGACAAUAAUAUUGAAUAUUUGUUCUUUAGUUUUACAUAGGUUUGGGAAAUUAAAAUACAUAAUUUAAUUUUAAUUUCCUUUAAUAUUUAGUCAUGUAACUAAUACUUAUUAAACUUAUUUUAGCAGGAUUUAGUACUCUUAAAUUAUGAUCAUUUCCAUUAUGACUUAAUAAUUUGUAAUAAUUGUUUUACGCGAUUUCAUUAUUAUUUUUUUGUUGGAUAUUUUAGUGUCAUUAAUCAUAUCAUAUUUUGUGUUAUUUUCUUAAGAAACACCUUAGAUAGUUGUAUUUUGGUAGGACUAAAGAAAUAUUUGAAGUACAAGUAAAUUAUAUGUUUGUAUGAAUACUUUACCGAAAAAACCCGAAAAUCCGAACAACCUGAGGUUGUAAAACCCGAGUUUUAUUGGUUUGGUUUGAUUUAUAAAUUCAAACACCCGACACUAAAUGAUUUGGUUUUGAUAAUUUUGAAAAAACCCCGAACCAAUCCGGCCAUGUACACCCCUAUCCAUUAGCAUCACUUGAUGAGAAUAAAAAGUAAUCUAACAGAGAACACACAAUCAAAGAAUUCAUAACAAAACUCACACUUGAUCCCAAAUCCUCCCUGGUAAUGAUGACACAUUGUCUUAUAAAUGUACUAAAAAUGUAUAAAAUCAUAUUCAAAAUAAAUUUGUAAUACGACAAAAGUUUCAUUCAACAAAUCAUUAAAAUAACCAAAAGGAUGAGGAACUUAUAGCUUAUGCAAUAGGUGCAAUACAAUAAAUAUGAAUCUCAUAACACUAACUACCUAAUUGGAAACAAAAACAUAUACAAAUCUCAUUGUGUAGUGGCUAUGUACCGACAAAAUUCUAUCAUAAUUCUUUUUUUUGAUAGCAAACAAACACAAUAACCACUCGAGUUGGUUAAAACUUCAAAGUAGAAUCAACACUAAGACGCUCCUCUCAUAAAUUAUCAACAUAUCAUAUGGUCAUGGUAGAGCCUUCAAAACAGAUUUUGAAACAAAAAGUACUUCUAGGUAUAGUAUUCUACAAACAACAAACACAAAAAUGACUACAUAUAAUGAACAUUUAAUUCUACAAUGUUAUCAUUCCAUCUAAAACCAAAUCAUAAAAAUAACUGAGAUAAAUUUUCAACCCUAUACAUCAAAGUACAUAAAAAAUAAAUGAAAACUCCUUUUCAAUAGAUCAUCUAGAUAAAUCUUAUUAGUUCAAUUGAUUGAUUAUCUAAACUUACAUAAUUUCAAUCAGCCAUAAUCAAAACAUAUGGAGAUAAGGUAAGAGUUACAACUCAUAAAUAAUCCAAGUAAAUAUAAGUAAAACAAAGUCUUUAGUUCUAAAACAAUCAAUAGAUUAAUGUACUGCAAAAUCACAAGAAAAAAUAAGAAUGAAAAUCUAAUCAGUAGAUGGGAAACACAUUUGUGAAAAUAAGGGAACAAACAUCUUCUACAAAUGAGAACCCUUCUCAAGAACAUACAGUCUACUUCACCUAUUUUAGAUACCCAUACAAAAAAUUGAGAUACCCAUAUCAAAAUUUGAAAUACCCAUAUGAAAAUUCGAGAUACCCAUACUGAAAUUCGAGAUACCUAUCUUAAAAAUUUGAGAUUCCCAUACCAAAAUUAGAUCAAACUGAAAAAAUAGCAAUUAUUUUGUUGAAAGAUAAACAUUAAGUUGUGUGCAAGCGUGAAAAAUUGUGAACUGCAAAGUGAGAUAGGUUCUUGAGAUGUGAAAAAUAUUUACUAGAAAAAUUGAGGGAAGCCAAAAGAAAAGCGGGAAGCUGCUACUGCACGCUAUUAUUUUUUUUUGAUCUAUGAAGAUUUUGAACUGCUGCUAAAUAUUUAUAUUUCUGUCAGUUUAGAAAACCCUCGUUAUUUAAUGUAAUUUGCGGGGGUUGGAAUUGACCUCCGUUUUUAAACUCCCGCUAUUCAAGGAUGACCUCUAAUAGCUCUUCGUGGAGGCAUGAUUACUAAAACACAUGCGCAAGCACGAGUUAGAAGGAAACUUCAUAGAGAUUAACUCUAUCGCACGAAAUGAAUGUGAAAGAAGUGAGAUAGUUCCUAAAUGUUGCAGCCUCCUAAUUAUAGAUGUGGCGCGCUUCACACCGAUAACUAGGACUCUACAGACACGGCUUCAUAGACUCCCUAGGAUUCUUGAACUCUGUGCUCUGAUAUCAAGUUUGUCAUGCCUCGAACCUACACCUUGGGCGAGACUGGAACUCGAGAACCAUUUUUUGCCCCAAGCGAACCUUGGCCUGGCUAGGCUCUCAGCGGAAGACUUUAAGCAUUAUUACAAGGAUCAAAUGCAUUUAUAAAACAACUGUCUCAAUUUAAACUCAGAACGUUUAAGGAUAAAACAUUCAAACUAGCCAUAGAUGACAACUCAAGUUUUAUAGCAAAACAUCUAAAAUACAAGACUAAAGAACUAUGACUACUCGUCUGUGAAGCCUCUUAAAUAAAGAGGGAUGUCGAGACAAGACCCUCGAUCAUCCUAACAACUGAAAUACUAAAGCAAUGUAAAAGGAGUCCUUCGAAAAGCAAUGAGGCUUACCAAAUGACUCUAAGUGCUCAACUGGAUCAACGAGGCGCUGAAUGCUGAUCCUAGUUACUUGUGUCUGCAUCAUAAAAUGAUGUAGGCCAAAUGACAUCAGUACAUUGAAUGUACGAGUAUGCGAGGGGAAUACUAAACAAGACAUAAGCUUGAAAAGAAUCUGAAAAGAACACUUACCUUCAACUCAUGAAUAACUCAACUCAAAUGCAAAGUAAAACAACAAUAAUGGUGCAGUUUAUACAAAGCAUUUAAAACAAUAGGUGAUAACUCAAUGUAUUGAAGAGAUACAAUAACAACUCAGUUCACUCAUAUAGUAACGUAAUAUAAUACUGUUGGAGUUUCUCUAACCGAUAACAACCACUAUGAACCUAAGUGAUGAUAUAACGUUUUGCCCACGCUGCCAGAACUGUCCUAUACUUUGCCGUCAUAUAGAACGCUUCAACUAAGUGGAUCCACUAGUACUCUAUGCUAAAAAGCACUAAUGAGUCAUCUAAAAAGUAUGAUUCUUUCUACCCAUGAUGACUACAUGGUUUAUGGAGAAUUGAGUUAUUAUGAACUCGUCCCCUAUAUCGGUGCUCAAUACUACUCCCAAAAUAUACUCAGCUCAUAUGUUUUAAAAACAAAACUCUUUCUUUGGUUUGAGAUAAUUACUCAAAAACUAGCUCAAAAGAUCUCUUGGAAAUCAGUGUUUCCUCUCUUAUUUAAAUGUGACAACAUUUACUCUUUGGGAAUACUUAGUUUUCAUUUACUCUUUUUGAAGAAAUGAACUUUAUUUGUUACUGUUACUUAACUCAAAACUCAAGUCUUAAAACAAGAUUAAAACAUUUGUAAAAGACUUCUUAGAAAGACUCUAUGAACUUUCUAGACUUGGCUCUUAACUUUCCUUGAAUUUGAAUUUUUUGGAUUCAAAUGUUAUGAUUCAAGUUUAUGGAUGAUUUCUAAGUGUUUAGAAGUCAUUUAGAGUAGUUAGAAUCAAUAGGAAGUGUUAGUACACUAUAGAAGGACUUAGACAGGCUAAAUGACGAAAAACGGGUGGGGCAGACGACCUGGGUGCGUUCUUGGCGCGCUGCACCAGCCCCUAAGUUACUGGGGCUCAUUUCUGGCGCACUGCUGGCGCGCCGCCCCAGCCUUCCUGGCGCUACAGCGGCGCGCCGCACUAGCCCCUCCCCAGGCAAACCCGACGAACUUUUCAACUCGUUUUCUAAUCUAAAUUCGACUAAACUCAAUUCCUUUUCUCAAAUUCUCUUUAGAAUCAGAUACCCAAAACAUAUACACAAAAAUCUAACUUCAACAACUCAAGGAAUCAACACUUUAAUAUCAAGAAACUCCUCAAUCUCAACCCAAAUUCAAGAACGAAAGCAAUUCAAGAAUACCCCAUCAAGAACUUUCAAACUUCCAAUCUCUUUAGAACGAAUUCACGCUGAAUUAAACAUGUUUGGAACGUGGGUGAAUGAACCCAACGUUAUGAAAGUUUCACAUACCUCGUAGGAUCAAAUCCUUGACGAAAUCCGCAAUCAAUUCCUUACGAAGACGACGAAUCUUGAUUUUUCCUCUUCUCUUCUCUCUCGAGUUCUUCUCUCUAAAUCCCUAGCGUGAAUUUUCAACUGUGCAAACUGAACCAAUUCAGUUUUGACCCUAAUUAAUUCACUAAAAACGAAAUAAGUUAAUUGGGUAAGGAAAAGACCAUAAUACCCUUCCAAAAUCCAGUUUAGACUUUCCUUAUCUAAACAGCCCGACUUCAAAUGGACAUUUCUCCUUCAUACAAACUCGAAAUUGAGCAAACUCAGUGGUGUUGGAAAGAUAAUUCAAAGACCUUUCCUACGAUAUCUAGUAGCACACCUAAUUAACUCAUCCUGAGCUAGGAGUUAUGGUCGUUUUAAGUUGACCCAAAACUCAAACUUAACAUAACUUAACCAAUUUUUUCCAGAUUUUUCAUUCUUUCCAAAAACGACUCUUUCUAGUUCUUUCAAUUUGCGAGAUAUUAUAAUAUUAGAUACUUCCAACGCAUAUUCCGUGAAAGUUGAUGUACGUAUUUUCAAGUGCACAUUACAUAGCUUAGUUGAUCACAUUAAAUGUACGUCCUCCUUUAAUUAACAUAAUUACUUUUUUUCCAAGUUCCUGGUGGUUUCCUUCUGUCUACCAAGUACCAAACCAUAGUUGUUAACAACAAAUAAAGAUACAAUUGAAAUGUAACAUAACAAAAAGUUGAUGUAUGGCAUGAAUGUGUUUAAUAUUGUUUAUUAUAACUUGAAGACUUCGAUCAUUUCUCUUGCUUUUUGUUUCCACUUUUUGAAGCUUUUUAAAGUUAAUUAUUGGCCAAAUAGGGUACCCAUUGUUUUAUAAUUGGACGUAGUUGUUGAAAAGGUUAAAAAGAUUUGAAAUCUUGACAUUAGGUUGAUUAAUUGAUUUGAGUUACCUCAUUCAAUGUGCUUUGCAUUUUAAAGGGAUCAUCAGGCCACUACUAAGAUAUUUCUUCUUGUAAACUUCACGUGUUCUUGUAUGGAAAAGUUGUUUUGAAUAAAUUAAACCAGCUAUUUUUUAGUUAUUAGUAACCUUUUUUCAUUUAUAAAAAAGGUAGAAUUAGAGAAAUUAUGUUGUAUGAGACAGAACGUUGGUUAGUCAAGUACUCUCAUAUUCACAAGUGAAAGUUGUAGAAAUAAGGAUUCUGAGAUGUGUGUGUUGAUAAACUAGGAGAGACGGAAUAAGAAAUGAUGAUGCUCGGGUUAAGGUAGGAGUUUUUCCAAACAUGCGGGAAGCGAGACUUCGGUAAUUCAGGCAUGUGACGUAAUGAGCAUUUGGAAACAUACGCAAAAAAGUUCCAAAAAAUUAAUUCGGAAGUGCCUAAUUGGAAACACUUUAUUGUGUUCACAUAUAUAGUUAAUUUUUUGGUUUCCCACCCGGUGUCCGGAUCCCACAUUGGAGCUUCGACUAAAUCCGGAUCGUGCACUACAGGGCCCAUUGGGGGUGGCGCUCCCAACAUAAUUUUCUCCAUACCCAAGGCUCGAACCCGAGACCUCUGGUUAAGGGUGUAUAUAUAGUUAAUUGAAACAAGUCAUAGUUUGACUAUCUAAAUUAAAUUUACUAUAUCUCAAGUUUAAAGAUUUAUCGAUGUAUUUAACAUUAAAAAAUGAAUAUGAAAUUAAAGCUUUUAAAUUCUUCGUGUUAAAAAAAGGUUUGCGACUUAAAUUCACUAGUUGAAAUGCCAAAACAUAGCAAAAUCGUAGUUGUGCCAACAAGUUCCUUAAGAUGGAUUGUUGUUAUAUUUUACACUUAUUGUAGAAAUGUAAGGUAAGAAUGCAUAAAAUAAAUCAUUUUUUCCGAGUUCCUCGUGGUUUCCUCCUGUCUACCAAAUGCAGCUGCUUACAACAAACAAAUAAAUGAUACAAGAAAUGUAGCAUAACAAAAAGCUGAUCCAUGUGGCAUGUGUUCAAUAUUGUUUAUUUUAACUUGAAGUGUUCUCCUUUUUCUUGCUUUUUGUUUACACUUUGGCAAGUACUCUUUGAAGCUUUUCAAAGUUAAUUAUUGGCCAAAUAGUCAUUAAUUUGGCCUUAUUGGAGGUUGAAAAAGGUUAAAAAGUUUUGAAAUAUUCACAUUAGGUUGAUUGAUUGAGUUACCUUAUUCAACGUGCUUUGCAUUUGGCAUUGUACUCAGGUUUGAAAUGACUAUAUAUAAAAAGGUAACAUUAAUGUUAAUAAGGGGAACAUAAGAUCAAGAAUAUCAAGAUUAUCACAUUGCUAAUGAGUGACUUUUUGGGUUAGAAAGAAUUAGGACGUUAUGCAUAUGUAAGCUUAUAAUUGCAAAUUAUAGAGGCGAUAAAUCAAAUGAAUAAAAACUAUAGUAAAAAACAUUAUAUUAAUUAUUAUAUGGUAAAAAGUAAUAUAAAAGGAAAUAUUGAAACUGUUGAGAGAAAAUCUCUUCUUAUACAGAACUCUCUAAGCAACUACAUAAAAAAUUAAAAAUAAUUAUGGUAAUAUUUUCACUUUCCUUUCAUGGAAAAGUAAAACUCAAAUAUGUUAAGAAAAUCAUAACAAAACGGCCUAACUUGACUUGAUCUAUUUAAACUUUACUUAUCCUAAUAUAUUACUUAUUUGCAUCUUUUGCAAGUCGUUAUUUGAGUUGUUGUAUUGAAUUAGACAGAUUUUGUAUUAAGUGAAUGAUGUUGUUCUGAAUUUAGUAAUUCUUCUAGUAAGAACCUUCUACCGGAUUGUUAUUGUAAUUUCCAUUUUUGAUGUUAUAAAAUAGUGUUUGAUUAAAUAUAUGAAUUAAAUGGAAUUCAUAUAUUUCUAAAGACAACUUCAAUGGCAAUAACAUAGGUUUAAUUUACCAACACUCUAUAUAAAUGUUGCUGAAGAUUAAGGUGACAUUGAAUCUAAUAACAUUUAAACAAUUGCAGGCAAAUGCUUUUGUAGCAAUAUUUACAAAAUUUAUUGCCACUAAUCAUGUCUUUAAAUUGAAAUGUAAAAGGAUAUAUUGCAUAAUAUAUAGACUUUUUUCAAUUUGUUGGAGAAUAUCAAACUGUGUUAUAGUAAAAAAUAAAAUAAAAUAACUCCAAUUAAAUAGCGAUAGGGCACUAACGUUUGGGUGAAAAAAAGUUAGAAAAAACUUCUUAACUUUACAACAGUUCUACAACAAACAGGAAAAGCUAUACAGAAAAUUCUCAUUUUUUUAUUUAAACAAACAACACUCUAUUUUGUACACAUUGAAUAGAGUCAUAGACAAGACAUGCACAUAGGUACAGAUUUUUGCUGUCUAGCUACGAAAUUUAUUCAUCGCCAAAUUCUGCUUUUAUUUUAGUAGUGGUCUUUGAGCACGUACAUAGAGUACUAAUAUUCAUGUACAGCUCCAACAAAAGCAAAAAAACUAUAAUAGGAUUGAUUUAACAAAUCAAGAAAACAUGCAUAUUUUAUAAAUAUAUUGUUUGCAACAUUAUGAAGCAGAAAAUGAGGAUUGUCGUCUCAAAUUUCUAUAGAACUUUGAGAUAAACUCAUCAGCUUUCUCAUCUACGUGAUUAUCCAUUUCUUCCACCUCAUCUCUCACCGGAAAAGGCGAGUCAGUAACCCUCAACUGUCUCCCAAACCCACGAAAAUAAUUAUCAGGUGACGUUGUUUCACCCUUAAUCAUCUCCAAUGCGGCUCUCAUUACCGCCGCAUUCAUCACCACAACAUCCUCUUCAUGACUAGUAGUGUGUUUUUUCAUGUCCAAAUUUGGGCUGCUAGUGCAGCUAAACUCAUAAUACUCAUCCUCAUGUGGAGGGCAAAAUGGUAAAUUACCACUCUCGACGUGAUCGGACCGAAGGUUUUUGUUUUGGUUGUGGUGGUGGAAGUGAAACAUGAGAUUUUGGACCACGACUUUGUAACUACCAAUCUUACUACGCUUCAUCAUUAAUUUGAUAUCGAGCAUUAUUUUCUGCUUUGAUAUACCUUUUCUUAACAUGCAUAAUGCCACUCGAACAAUUUUCCAAAACUUCUUUCCUACCACUACCAAAUUUUGAUCCAUUUGUGUGUGUGUGUGUUGGUGUUGUUGUUGCUAAUUGAAUUGGCAAGGCAAAAAGUAUAUGAAGGGGUAUAUAUAGUGGACCAUUUUAACGUUAAUAUGUUAAAGUGAGGAGUUAAGGGUCCAUUUGAUAUUUUGGAACAAAAAUCGAAUAUUUUAUUGACUCAAUUAUUAGUGGUGUUGGUGAUUUUUACACUAUACAACUUUAGGUCACUAUCACUCCCAAAUUAAUUGUGUGAUUAAUUAUUUUUUCCUCAGGGAAAUCAAUUUUAAUUUGGUCACGUAUGUCCCAAUUAAACACCUCUUUUCUUUUUUUCUGCUCCCCAUUCAACAAUUUUCUUCUUUAAUUAAUACCUCAAACCAUAUGAGAUCUCUAAAAAGUCACUUCUAACUUAAUUUCAAAUUAUUGAUAGUUGAUACUUGAUACUGGAAUUAAAUUAUUUAGGACAUGUCUUUUGCACUGAUGUUAUGGCUAGUCUGGUAAUGCGUGUUAAAUGCUUGUUCACUCUUAAUCAUAUAUUUUGAAUUUUGAUAGGAAAUGUUUAUUUGUUCACUUUUCAAUGUGAGUUCAGAUUAAUCAAACAUCAUAGAUCAAGUAGUCUCAAACUUUCGGCUUCAUGAAAAGAUAAUUAUUCUUAAUUCAGUCACUUAGCUCAAUAAUAAUGCUAUUUAGGUUUGUCUACUUAGAGGGGAGGAUAUUAUCUAGAUUUGAUCUUAAGAUAUUAUAAUCAACAAAUAGGAAGCAAACAAACAAAUAAAUUUUAAAAAUAACAAAUUAAUAUUACUACGUUAUUGCAAUUUUUUUGUUUGUAUACAAUUGUCUUUUCUCAACUUCUAGAAUAUGAGUUGAAAGGAUACCUCCAAAACCCUAGCAGCUAUUUGUUUGUUUGAAAAGUUUACUUAACAAGGUAGGUUUUCCAUGGCAUGUCCUCCACCCCCACCCCCCCUUCUUCUUUUUUACAAUAAAGUUUAUAAUUGUGGGCGUACACCAAUCAUGAACCUAAGUUUCUUUUUCUUUUUCUUUAUUAUAUUCUGUUUCUACAGUUAUCCCAUAUCCAAAGAGUGUAGUUCACAAUUAAUUUACUAUAUACUUCAUAAUUUAUGUAAUGUAAAUUAACUGAAUAUUAAAUGUAACAAGUAUAAGAAUACUUUGUAACAUUUCAAAAUAAUUUUUUUAGAUUUUUUGUCAAAUAAGUUGAAUCCAUUACAAAUAAAAUGGUAGAUAAACUUUACUGUAAUAAGGAUCUUAUUAUAUUUAAUUAAUCAUAUUUUUUUCUAUUAUUAAUGGUCCUGAAAAAAUUAGGUACCAAAAAGUACGUAACCAAGUAUACAAACCUUGUCUUUGCUUGCAUGGCUAGCGCCUAGUUGACUAGAACUAGUUGUUGGUCAAGGUCUCACCCUAAGGUUUAUUAUAAAAAGCAAAGUUUUUUUUUUUCAAUUUUGAGACUCAUAAUAGAUUCAAUUAUUCUUUUUUCUAGACUUUUGAAUUUUGUAAUCUUUAAUUAAAUAUAUGUUAAAUGUAUCAAAAUGUCUUUUAAUCUAAUGAUUUUAAACAUAUUAUGUGGAAAUUAAGUUGAAAUUAAAAAAUUUAGAUGAAAUAAUAGGACCCCCGCAAACUUUAGAUGUCCACUUCAGAAAAGGAGUAUAACUUUGAUGGUUAAUAUUUUCUCUUUUGACUAAUAUAACACUGCCGCAAUAAAUAAAGAAUUUUUCGGCAAUAAUAUAAUUAUUAUAUUAUAUUUAGGAGCAAUAACAAAUAUUAAUAUUUAUAACCAACAUAUUCGAUAUAAAUUCUGCUAAAUAUUUUAGCAACUCUAAAUAUAAUUGCAUUAAUUCAAUUAUAGCUAAAUAUUUUUACCGCUUAAAUUUUUUUCAUUGUCAUUAAAUUUCUCUUUUAUUAUAAUUCAUGUAUGUAUUUUGGUUGUGGUUUUAUUUGCAAGAUUUUUUAAUGUUCAAUGAACUCUAUCUAUCAAGAAGCUUGUAACCAUUAUAAUUAGCUUAACAAACUUUUACAACUUACUACUUUUGAACAAAAAUGUACUACCUAACUUAGAAAAAAGGAGUUCCAAAUUAUAUUUGUUUCAUUUUAACUUGGAAGAGUUUCUCUUCUCAUGCUUUUGCACUUCUUUUAAUCUCUGAAAAUGCUUUCUGAAGAUUUUUCGAGUUUUUAAUGGAGACAUUGAAAUUUUAUUUGAUAAAUUCAUGAUAGGUUGACCAAAUUAAAUUUUUGGUUAAUAAAGAUAGAUUAAUAUUUAAAUUAAAAUUAUAUACCUUAAAUAAAGUUCAAUUAUAUUUGAGUUAGUACUCUGUUAAGUUGACAAGAUGAAUCCAAUUAGUCAAACUCAUGUUCUGCAAGCCAAAGUCUGCUAGAAUUAUUUAGAGACAUCCAAAUCUUAACUCACGCCUAUAUAAAAGGAUCUUCGUAAAGUCAGAAGAAAACAAGAAGAAAGAAAUACAUAAAAAAAAAAAUUGUUAACACACAAAGAAGUCUUCGUCUCCAUUUGAUGAGCCGCAAGCUGUUAACGACAAAUAAAUAUUUAUACAAGAAAUGUAACAAUACAAAAAGUUGAUCCAUUGCAUGUGUUCAAUAUUGUUUAUUUUUAACUUGAAGACUUCUCAUUUCUCUUGCUUUUAGUUUCCACUUUUUAAAGCUCUUAGAAGUACUCUCUUGAAACUUUUCAAAGUUAAUAAUUGGCCAAAUUAAAUAGGGUACCCAUUGUUUUGGCCGUAUUGAUUGAAAAAGUUAAAAUUAUUUGAAAAAUUGACUUAAUUGAUUGAGUUACAUACCUAAUUCAACGUGCUUUGCAUUGGCAAUUGUACUUUAGCUUUAAGUUGAAGAAUGAAAUUUUUUAGAAUCGAUGGUUAAUAAAUUGAAUAAUCUUCUUGUAAGGUUUGGAUAAUCCUCCUUUUUUGAACUAAUUUUUCGAGUUAAGCUCAAAAUUUGUAUUCUUUUAAUAUUUUGACCCCCCCAAAAAAGAACUUUUUUCUUUUUUCUCCAAAAUUGUUCUUUUACUCUCAAGUUCUCACUUCUCACCUCCUUUUAUGUGUAAUAUAAUUGUAAAUCCGAUUAUUAUUAUAAAAUUUAAUAUAAGAGUAAUGCAAUAGUAUUUAUAAAUUUUAAAUCUUGCAUUUGUCUCUGUCUUGGCUUAUGUGGAGAGUAGGGGUGUACAAAAACGAAUCAAACCGCAAAUCGAGUCAAAUAAAAAAAAAACCCGACUAGUGGUUUGGUUUGACUUGGUUUGGUAUUGGAAAAAAAAACCGACUAUAUUUGGGUUAGCUUGGUUUUAACUAAAAAAAACCAACCCGAGAUUAAACCAACCCAACAUUAUAUAUGUAAUUUUAAAAUUUUAUUUUAUACAUAAAAAUAUUUACUUUGAUAUAAUUUUAAANNNNNNNNNNNNNNNNNNNNNNNNNNNNNNNNNNNNNNNNNNNNNNNNNNNNNUUUUUUAGUUUUACAUUGGUUUAGACAAUUAAAAUGCAUAAUCUAAUUUUAAUUUUCCUUAAAUAUUUAGUAAUGUAACUAAUACUUAUUAAACUUAGCGCGGAGAAGUUCACUAGUUAAUACUAAUGCAAAAAGAAAAUCAAUUCAACACUAAGAAUGACAAUAAUAUUGAAUAUUUGUUCUUUAGUGUAUAUUGGUUUAGACAAUUAAAAUACAUAAUCUAAUUUUAAUUUUUCUUAAAUAUUUAGUAAUGUAACUAAUAUUUAUUAAACUUAUUUUAGCAUAAGUUUGUCUCUGAGAUUUCGGGCAUAGGUUGGGGGGUACUUAUGCAUUUUCCCUUUAAAUUAUGAUCAUUUUUCAUUAUGACUUUGCAAUAUUUAUUUUAUAUGAUGAUUUCAUUAUUAUUUUUUAUUGAAUGGUUUAGUGUCAUCAAUUUUGUGUUAUUUUCUUAAGAAACACCUUAGAUAAUUGUAUUUUGCUUGGACUAAAGAAAUAUUUGGAGCACAAGUUAAUUAUAUGUUUAGAUGCAAACUUUACCGAAAAAAUUAAAAAAUCUGAAAAAAUCCGAGGUUUAUUAGUUUGGUUUGAUUUAUAAAUUUAAAAAUUCGACACAAUGGUUUGGUUUGGUAUUUGAAAAACCCGAACCAACCCGAGGUUGAAAAACCCGAAAAAAAUUGAAUUUUAUUAGUUUGAUUUGGUUUAUAAAUUUAAAAUGUUUACACAAAUAGUUUGAUUUGAUAUUUGAAAAACUCAAAUCAACCCGGUCAUGUACACCCCUAGUGGAUAAUAACUUCUUCAUCGCCCAUUCACCCUCCAAUUUGAACGGUAUUACUUACAAGAAAUUUUAACUAUUGAAAUUUUAACGGUUGCUUACGAUAAUAUUUAUAAAUUUUAACCGUUGCUUACAAGUUAAAAAAAAAACAAAAUAUGUUUUUUGGUGUCUUCUUCAAAAAUUUCAAUAAGUGCAACAAGCCAACAAUCAUUCUAUUGAAGGAAUGCAACACUAUUUCAAUAUCAUUAUGUUAUUAUUAAAUUCUUUAACCAGAUAUUAUCAUUUUACUUUAUUUUAUAAUUUUUCUUGAGAAUCUCUAUUGUUGACAUUCAUAAUUCAUAAGUAUGUAUAUUCUUGUUUGUUUUGUUAUUAAAAUUUAUUCAAUUUAAAUAUGCCAACUAGAAAGUAUGAUUUUGAUUUUAUAAAAAAAAAUUGAAGAUUUAAAUAAAUUCCAAAAAGGAGCCUUUAAUAGAUUUUUAACAAAUAAUAAAAAUCUUCAAUCAAAACAUAUGGAAGGAUGUUCUUCAAAUGAACAAGUCACUAGUAGAAUUGAAUUAGAUGAUAAUAACAUUCAAGUAGAAAAUCUAGAAAAAGCUGGUGAAAAAUGUGACAUAAUUCCUGAGAAUCAAGAACUUCUAAAUAAUUUAAAUAGGUGCAUCCCUACAAAUAAAUAUCACCAAUUUUUUUUUUUUUAAAAAAACCUUUUUUUCCAACUUCCUUGUAGUUUCCUCCUUUCUACCAAACGCAAUUGUUUACAACUAAUAAUAUGAUACAAUUUUUUUUUAACAAUAGCAAAAAGAAGUUCCAUGUCAUGUGUUCAAUAUUCAUAUUGUGUACCUUGAAGAGUUUCUUUUCUCUCUUACUUUUAAUUUAUUUGUACUUUUUGAAGCUUUGCAAAGUUAUUUGCCAAAUAAUUUUGAAAUUAGCUAAAUACCUCCGAUCAAAUUAAUUUCAAAUAUUAUCUUAAAAUUAUUAUUCUUAUCCCUCGUAUUAAAUGAGUACUUUAUUUAUGACGGUGGCUUCUUGAGGGGUACGUUGACCAGUUUAAUUUUGAUGUCCUAUUUUGACCAAUUUUGAUAAUAUAAGCUGUUCAUAUUUUUUGUGCAUUUAGUUGAUCUAACUAAAACCACUAUAAUUAAUUCGAUAAGAAUACAUAUUUUAAAAAUCAAAAUUGAUGUAAUAUCACAAAUAAAUUUGAUGGAAUAAGUAAUGCGUAGAUUAUUAUGUGCACUUUGCCAUUUCCGUACAAAUAGAACAAGCCUUUCAAUUUUCCGAUGACUCAAAUACUAUACGCAUCUAGAUUUGGAGUAACAAAGUUAAAUUAACCAAUGUUUAGUGUGAAUUAAGAUAGAUUUUUAAAAAAAUUCUAACAAUAAAAUCAACAUACUGAAAAAUUACAUAAAAGAAUAUGAUAAAUCACAAUAGUUAACAAUUUAAAAUAUUUAGUAAAAACAUAUCAAAAGAAAUAUUCUUUGACGUUAUAAAUAUUAACUAAGAUAACAAAUUGAAACAUAGAGUAAUUAUUUACCGGUCAAAGAUUCAUUGUUUUAUUUGGAUUUUGUUGUAUUUACACAACUUCUUUUGUGAAAAACUCAAUUACAUGAAGCAAAUAAGCACACACUAUCCACAACUUCCAAUCCUCACAAGUUUUCUAUAUUUCUUUGUUUAUAUUAUAAGCUACCCCACACAAAAGCAAAAAAUCUAAUAAAAUUGCUUUUGCAAAUGAAGAAAAACAUGCAUACAUUGUAUACUACUAACAAUAACAAAAUAUGUUAAGAAAAUCAUAACAAAACGGCCUAACUUGACUUGAUCUAUUUAAACUUUACUUAUCCUAAUAUAUUACUUAUUUGCAUCUUUUGCAAGUCGUUAUUUGAGUUGUUGUAUUGAAUUAGACAGAUUUUGUAUUAAGUGAAUGAUGUUGUUCUGAAUUUAGUAAUUCUUCUAGUAAGAACCUUCUACCGGAUUGUUAUUGUAAUUUCCAUUUUUGAUGUUAUAAAAUAGUGUUUGAUUAAAUAUAUGAAUUAAAUGGAAUUCAUAUAUUUCUAAAGACAACUUCAAUGGCAAUAACAUAGGUUUAAUUUACCAACACUCUAUAUAAAUGUUGCUGAAGAUUAAGGUGACAUUGAAUCUAAUAACAUUUAAACAAUUGCAGGCAAAUGCUUUUGUAGCAAUAUUUACAAAAUUUAUUGCCACUAAUCAUGUCUUUAAAUUGAAAUGUAAAAGGAUAUAUUGCAUAAUAUAUAGACUUUUUUCAAUUUGUUGGAGAAUAUCAAACUGUGUUAUAGUAAAAAAUAAAAUAAAAUAACUCCAAUUAAAUAGCGAUAGGGCACUAACGUUUGGGUGAAAAAAAGUUAGAAAAAACUUCUUAACUUUACAACAGUUCUACAACAAACAGGAAAAGCUAUACAGAAAAUUCUCAUUUUUUUAUUUAAACAAACAACACUCUAUUUUGUACACAUUGAAUAGAGUCAUAGACAAGACAUGCACAUAGGUACAGAUUUUUGCUGUCUAGCUACGAAAUUUAUUCAUCGCCAAAUUCUGCUUUUAUUUUAGUAGUGGUCUUUGAGCACGUACAUAGAGUACUAAUAUUCAUGUACAGCUCCAACAAAAGCAAAAAAACUAUAAUAGGAUUGAUUUAACAAAUCAAGAAAACAUGCAUAUUUUAUAAAUAUAUUGUUUGCAACAUUAUGAAGCAGAAAAUGAGGAUUGUCGUCUCAAAUUUCUAUAGAACUUUGAGAUAAACUCAUCAGCUUUCUCAUCUACGUGAUUAUCCAUUUCUUCCACCUCAUCUCUCACCGGAAAAGGCGAGUCAGUAACCCUCAACUGUCUCCCAAACCCACGAAAAUAAUUAUCAGGUGACGUUAUUUCACCCUUAAUCAUCUUCAAUGCGGCUCUCAUUACCGCCGCAUUCAUCACCACAACAUCCUCUUCGGUAGCAGUGUGUUUUUUCAUGUCCAAAUUUGGGCUGCUAGUGCAGCUAACUCAUAAUACUCAUCCUCAUGUGAGGGCAAAAUGGUAAAAUUACCACUCUCGACGUGAUCGGACCGAAGGUUUUUGUUUUGGUUGUGGUGGUGGAAGUGGAACAUGAGAUUUUGGACCACGGCUUUGUAACUACUAAUCUUGCUACGCUUCAUCAUUAAUUUGAUAUCGAGCAUUAUUUUCUGCUUUGAUAUACCUUUUCUUAACAUGCAUAA